UACGAAGGGGGCUAGCGUUGCUCGGAAUCACUGGGCGUAAAGGGUGCGUAGGCGGGUCUUUAAGUCAGGGGUGAAAUCCUGGAGCUCAACUCCAGAACUGCCUUUGAUACUGAGGAUCUUGAGUUCGGGAGAGGUGAGUGGAACUGCGAGUGUAGAGGUGAAAUUCGUAGAUAUUCGCAAGAACACCGGUGGCGAAGGCGGCCCACUGGCUCGAUACUGACGCUGAGGUGCGAAAGCGUGGGGAGCAAACAGG
RNAcentral lists this ribosomal RNA (253 nucleotides) under uncultured bacterium. RNAcentral's name for it is "partial 16S ribosomal RNA". It matches the Rfam family "Bacterial small subunit ribosomal RNA", at positions 524 to 776 of the family's 1533-position model. The record is from RNAcentral.